This 391-nucleotide ribosomal RNA is filed under the name uncultured eukaryote. RNAcentral describes it as "SSU rRNA". It matches the Rfam family "Eukaryotic small subunit ribosomal RNA", at positions 587 to 972 of the family's 1831-position model. The record is from RNAcentral.
AGCUCCAAUAGCGUAUAUUAAAGUUGUUGCGGUUAAAAGCUCGUAGUUGGAUUUCUGCUGAGGAUGACCGGUCCGCCCUCUGGGUGAGUAUCUGGCUCAGCCUUGGCAUCUUCCUGAAGAACGUAUCUGCACUUGACUGUGUGGUGCGGUACCCAGGACUUUUACUUUGAGGAAAUUAGAGUGUUUCAAGCAGGCAUACGCCUUGAAUACAUUAGCAUGGAAUAAUAAGAUAGGACCUCGGUUCUAUUUUGUUGGUUUCUAGAGCUGAGGUAAUGAUUAAUAGGGAUAGUUGGGGGCAUUCGUAUUUAACUGUCAGAGGUGAAAUUCUUGGAUUUGUUAAAGACGGACUACUGCAGCAUGCAUGCGAAAGCAUUUGCCAAGGAUGUUUUCA